AACGAACGCUGGCGGCAUGCCUAACACAUGCAAGUCGAACGAGACCUUCGGGUCUAGUGGCGCACGGGUGCGUCACGCGUGGGAACCUGCCCUUAGGUUCGGACUAACUCCCCGACAGGGGUGCUAAUACCGGAUAAUGUCUUCUGCCCAAAGAUUUAUCGCCUUUGGAUGGGCCCUCGUUGGAUUAGCUUGUUGGUAGGGUAAAAGCCUACCAAGGCGACGAUCCAUAGCUGGUCUGAGAGGAAGCUCAGCCACACUGGGACUAAGACGCGGCCCAGACUCCUACGCGAGGGAGCAGUGGGGAAUAGUGGACAGUGGGCGAAGGGAUGAUCGUGCAAGGCCGGGAAAGUGAUGUAGGCAUGAGGGAAGAAAAGCGCUUGUAACUGGGAAGAUAAUGACAGUACCGGGACAAAAAGCCCCGGCUAACUACGUG
This 433-nucleotide ribosomal RNA is filed under the name uncultured bacterium. Its description in RNAcentral is "partial 16S ribosomal RNA". It matches the Rfam family "Bacterial small subunit ribosomal RNA", at positions 29 to 507 of the family's 1533-position model. The record is from RNAcentral.